RNAcentral lists this transfer RNA (74 nucleotides) under Pseudocercospora fijiensis CIRAD86. RNAcentral describes it as "tRNA-Ile (AAT) (tRNA-Ile-AAT-1 1 to 3)". It matches the Rfam family "tRNA". Rfam says of the family: Transfer RNA (tRNA) molecules are approximately 80 nucleotides in length. Lineage: Eukaryota; Fungi; Ascomycota; Dothideomycetes; Mycosphaerellales; Mycosphaerellaceae. The record is from RNAcentral.
GGUCGAUUAGCUCAGUUGGUUAGAGCGUGGUGCUAAUAACGCCAAGGUCGCGGGUUCGACCCCCUCAUUGACCA